Phyllopteryx taeniolatus (common seadragon) is the source of this 1781-nucleotide long non-coding RNA. RefSeq lists it as uncharacterized. Lineage: Eukaryota; Metazoa; Chordata; Actinopteri; Syngnathiformes; Syngnathidae. The record is from RefSeq and is a predicted model, not a curated record. The transcript has 11 exons.
UUGGAGUAGGACGUCCUGGUCCAGGUCGCCUGAGGAGGGCGGCCGAGGGAAGCGUGCUUCUUGCGCGCUCGUGGAGCCCGCUUGCUGCGCGAGCCGAACCGAUGCGACACCGAGGAAACACUUGAACACCAACAGGGGCAGAUCAUCUGCCAGAACGCAGCCACCGUGGAGGGUAGGGGUCCUUGGCAGGAGAUGUAGGAGAGUUCCUCAACUCCGGCUUGCAUGCGGAUGUAGCUGGCGUUGAUGUAGUCGUGCUUCUCUCCAAGGGUGACGCGAGUUUUGUCGUCUGUGGAUGGAAAAGAGGACACACAACCAGGGUUUACUGAAGCAGAUGAAAUCAUCUCAUAAAUCUUUCACAGACUCCUCACCGUUCCAUUUGGCCUUGGGCGUCACUGGCUGGUCAUCUCUGGAACAUAGGAAAGACACAAACAGAAGAGCUUUGACAGCGUCUUCUAAGGUCAUCCCUAAAGUGCACCUGCCGCAAACGUAGAGGAUCUUGUCAUUAGGUUGGACGCUGCCCUCUUCGCUGGCCGGGGAGCCUGGCACUACCUCCAGACAGUAAAUGCCCUGCCAUUUGCUGCCAAUGCCACCGCACACUGGCGGUGAGCUGGGUGACGUGGGAGAAGCAGGCGAGGCUGGCGAGAUUGGCGUCGGAGGAGACGUGGGAUAGCCGGAAUCUUGGAGCUGCAGGAGAGUCUGGGCUUUUCUCUGCUGUGUCAUUCAGCUCCUCCUCGAGGGUGGUUGCCGUAUUCUGAGCAGGUCCAUCUGGCACAAUGGAAGCAAUGAAUAUACCAAGGUCGAGUUUACCUGUAUUGUCCUCGCCUACAAUCACAAAGCCUGCCACGGGACCAUAGCGGAUGCAGAGACAAAAGUCCUCAUUUAAACAAUUAGUAGGGACGCUCUUUCAAACCCCUGAGUUCCCCAGUUUCCGGCGGCUCCUUGUUCAGUUCCCUGCUCAUCUCCCGCCUCAUCUCUCUCUGAUGGCGGAGUCGAGCCUCCAGCUUGACGCUCAGAUCCUCGCAAGAUUUGGACAGCAGAUCCGGUUGACCCGGGGCUAAACCGACAUGGUUCAGCAUGCCCUCAGAGCAUGACAUCCGCUUCAGGCUGAUGGAGGACUCGCUAAAGGUGAUGGAAGGACUGUGAGACCUGCCCGAUGUCUUGGGAGAGACGUCGUGGUGGGGGCUCCGGCCGAGCCAACUGCAGGUGCUGUCCCUGUGACGAGCCCCUCGCGGGAGCCUGAAUUACAGGAGGGGAGAGAUAAAUAACAUUGUCAUCAGUGGACCACAUGAACAUACCUGACUUUGAGUCUGAGUCGAUCGAGUAUCUUCUCCUUUCUGGACAACCUUCACUGAAGUCUGCAAAUGGCCCUCGCCUUCCUGUCAAGCAGAUUCGCCCCUGAUCCAAUUCCGGCAGAGACUCACCAUGAAGCCUUUCUCUGAUCAUCUGGCUCCGCCCACUUAGAGGCAAGUUACUGUCAGAGGCAUGGUCUAUCUGUGGGAACAAGGACCUGUGAAAAACAGGCACUGCGAACCCCCCCAAAAAGGUCCACGUGUGCACUCACCGGUUCACUGAAGACUUCCUCUACCAGCUGCCUGAUGACGUCGGCAGAUGGCGGCAGGCCGGAGGCUUUCUGACGACACUCGCAGGCUUCCAGGAUGGAGGUGAUGGUUACCCUGCGAUGGGACACGUCCUCACACAUGCUGAGGAGGAGGCUGUUGAGAUGGUCGCUCAACUGGACUGGCUGAGAUGGCACGUUAAAAAUAAAAUAUGUUAUGAUUGUA